ACUCAAAUGAAUUGACGGGGACCCGCACAAGCGGUGGAUGAUGUGGAUUAAUUCGAUGCAACGCGAACAACCUUACCUACCCUUGACAUGUGAGGAACCCUGCUGAGAGGCGGGGGUGCCCGAAAGGGAGCCUCAACACAGGUGCUGCAUGGCUGUCGUCAGCUCGUGUCGUGAGAUGUUGGGUUAAGUCCCGCAACGAGCGCAACCCUUGUCCCUAGUUGCUACCGCGAGGAGCACUCUAGGGAGACUGCCGGUGACAAACCGGAGGAAGGUGGGGAUGACGUCAAGUCCUCAUGGCCCUUAUGGGUAGGGCUUCACACGUCAUACAAUGGCCGGUACAGAGGGCAGCCAACCCGCGAGGGGGAGCCAAUCCCAGAAAGCCGGUCGUAGUCCGGAUUGCAGUCUGCAACUCGACUGCAUGAAGUCGGAAUCGCUAGUAAUCGCGGAUCAGCAUGUCGCGGUGAAUACGUUCCCGGGUCUUGUACACACCGCCCGU
RNAcentral lists this ribosomal RNA (496 nucleotides) under uncultured bacterium. RNAcentral describes it as "partial 16S ribosomal RNA". It matches the Rfam family "Bacterial small subunit ribosomal RNA", at positions 899 to 1397 of the family's 1533-position model. The record is from RNAcentral.